This 76-nucleotide transfer RNA is filed under the name Candidatus Atribacter allofermentans. Its description in RNAcentral is "Candidatus Atribacteria bacterium ADurb.Bin276 tRNA-Arg". It matches the Rfam family "tRNA". Rfam says of the family: Transfer RNA (tRNA) molecules are approximately 80 nucleotides in length. Their secondary structure includes four short double-helical elements and three loops (D, anti-codon, and T loops). The record is from RNAcentral. Lineage: Bacteria; Pseudomonadati; Atribacterota; Atribacteria; Atribacterales; Atribacteraceae. RNAcentral also lists the same sequence under 5 other names.
GCGCCUGUAGCUCAAUGGACAGAGCCGCGGACUUCGGAUCCGAAGGUUGGGGGUUCAACUCCCUCCAGGCGCGCCA